UAAACAUAUUACCGAAGCUGUGGAUUGUCCUUUGGACAAUGGUAGGAGAGCGUUCUAAGGGCGUUGAAGCAUGAUCGUAAGGACAUGUGGAGCGCUUAGAAGUGAGAAUGCCGGUGUGAGUAGCGAAAGACGGGUGAGAAUCCCGUCCACCGAUUGACUAAGGUUUCCAGAGGAAGGCUCGUCCGCUCUGGGUUAGUCGGGUCCUAAGCUGAGGCCGACAGGCGUAGGCGAUGGAUAACAGGUUGAUAUUCCUGUACCACCUAUAAUCGUUUUAAUCGAUGGGGGGACGCAGUAGGAUAGGCGAAGCGUGCGAUUGGAUUGCACGUCUAAGCAGUAAGGCUGAGUAUUAGGCAAAUCCGGUACUCAUUAAGGCUGAGCUGUGAUGGGGAGAAGACAUUGUGUCUUCGAGUCGUUGAUUUCACACUGCCGAGAAAAGCCUCUAGAUAGAAAAUAGGUGCCCGUACCGCAAACCGACACAGGUAGUCAAGAUGAGAAUUCUAAGGUGAGCGAGCGAACUCUCGUUAAGGAACUCGGCAAAAUGACCCCGUAACUUCGGGAGAAGGGGUGCUCUUUAGGGUUAACGCCCAGAAGAGCCGCAGUGAAUAGGCCCAAGCGACUGUUUAUCAAAAACACAGGUCUCUGCUAAACCGUAAGGUGAUGUAUAGGGGCUGACGCCUGCCCGGUGCUGGAAGGUUAAGAGGAGUGGUUAGCUUCUGCGAAGCUACGAAUCGAAGCCCCAGUAAACGGCGGCCGUAACUAUAACGGUCCUAAGGUAGCGAAAUUCCUUGUCGGGUAAGUUCCGACCCGCACGAAAGGCGUAACGAUUUGGGCACUGUCUCAACGAGAGACUCGGUGAAAUCAUAGUAC
RNAcentral lists this ribosomal RNA (867 nucleotides) under Staphylococcus aureus. RNAcentral's name for it is "partial 23S ribosomal RNA". It matches the Rfam family "Bacterial large subunit ribosomal RNA", at positions 1183 to 2050 of the family's 2925-position model. The record is from RNAcentral. Lineage: Bacteria; Bacillati; Bacillota; Bacilli; Caryophanales; Staphylococcaceae.